This 303-nucleotide unclassified non-coding RNA is filed under the name Rickenellaceae sp. Its description in RNAcentral is "partial contains 5.8S ribosomal RNA, internal transcribed spacer 2, and large subunit ribosomal RNA". Lineage: Eukaryota; Fungi; Basidiomycota; Agaricomycetes; Hymenochaetales; Rickenellaceae. RNAcentral also lists the same sequence under 1 other name. The record is from RNAcentral.
AACGCACCUUGCGCUCCUUGGUAUUCCGAGGAGCAUGCCUGUUUGAGUAUCAUGAAAUCAUCAACCCCCGCCUUCUUUGUUGAAGGUCGGAGGCUUGGAGUUGGGGGGUUCACUGCCGGUCGCGUCAAGCGGUCGGCUCCCCUUGAAUGCAUUAGCUGGGCGCCACGGUACGGCGGUUCACGGUGUGAUAGAUUAUCUACACCCACGGGACCUCGAACCGGUCGAGCUUCUAACCGUCCCCUCGUCGGGACAACCCCUUUGAAAUCCGAUCUCAAAUCAGGUAGGACUACCCGCUGAACUUAA